This 207-nucleotide ribosomal RNA is filed under the name uncultured bacterium. RNAcentral describes it as "partial 16S ribosomal RNA". It matches the Rfam family "Bacterial small subunit ribosomal RNA", at positions 568 to 774 of the family's 1533-position model. The record is from RNAcentral.
CACGUAGGCGGUAUUCAAAGUUAGAUGUGAAAUCCCAUGGCUUAACCAUGGAACUGCAUCUAAAACUAGGAUACUAGAGUUCAUUAGAGGGGAGCGGAAUUUCCGGUGUAGCGGUGAAAUGCGUAGAUAUCGGAAGGAACACCAGUGGCGAAGGCGGCUCUCUGGACUUGAACUGACGCUGAGGAGCGAAAGCGUGGGUAGCGAACA